GCUUAAAAAAAAAAAGUCACUGGUGACAGUGUUUCUUAUGUGAGAAUGGUGUUAUGGAUAGGUACGAAAACGUACUUUUUAGAAUAUGCUUCUGAAACAUUUAGCAGGGAUGUGCUGUGAUAUCUGCAAAUCGCUUUCAAAUGGCAUAGCAAAAAUUGUGUGUGAGUAUACACAGAGAGGGAGAGGAGGGAAACGUGGCACAUGUUCAUGAUUGAUCAGUCUACAUGAAGGAUAUAUAGAGGAUCAUUCUUUCAGUUUUUCUGUAGAUUUGGAAUUUUUUGAAAUAAAUAAAACAUUUGAGGCAAAAAUGUCACUGGUACAUGGUACCAAUGGCUCAUUUUUAGUCACCUUACUCUUAAAUGUGCUUCGCUCUCCCAGUUUUCUGAGAAUUUAUUUCAAAAGGCUAGAAAUUGUGCAUUAUUUCAGUUUUUACUCGUUUCCUCUUUCUUCCCUUCAAAGUAUUUUAGGAUUAAAUUGUGUAGACUGGGCACAGUGGCUCACACCUGUAGUUUCAGCAGUUUUGGAGGCUGAGGCGGGAAGACUGCUUGAGCCCAGAGCUUUGAGACCAGCUGGGCAACACAGGGAGACCCCAUCUGUACAAAUAAUUAGCCGAAUGUGGUGGCACAUGCUUGU
Homo sapiens (human) is the source of this 633-nucleotide long non-coding RNA. The record is from Ensembl. Lineage: Eukaryota; Metazoa; Chordata; Mammalia; Primates; Hominidae.